UAUGUACACAGAGAGGAAGAAAGGCAGACAGAGGACACAUCAGUAUCUCCCUCUGAAAGAGGCACCCUGCUAACCAGCUUCUCACGUGACUACAGGAGGAUGGCCCUUCUUAAGUUCCUGAGCUAGCCUCUCCUCACCCUCUCUGGUCAACCAAAGAGAACUGAAGUCUGAAAUCGAACAGGAUCAUGGUGACCAUUACCAGCACCGGUCAGGGUCAAACAUGACCAACUUCAGUGACUUCAGAGACCCUUGAAGCUGCAUUUUAGACGUGGUGCCCAGAGCCAAUCUUUGUUGGCCCAGCAGUUUUCAGCUCAGCACUGAGAAGACAAUGGGAAAUGUUUUCAUCGCUUCUAUCAGGUGCCUGAGAAAGCCUUUGUGCUCCAGAGCUCUGCAGACUGAGGAGUUAGAGCAAGAACAGACUUCUCAGGCAGAUUAUUUGUGUUAUCUAAACAGGGCGUUUCACUGGUGCAGGAGGAAACCUCCCACAGAAAUCAAAUGCCCACAAGUGUCCGUGUGACAGCCUGAGCAACCGAGAUUUGAAUUCAUAGAUUGUCAUUUGUCAUCUGUGUGACCUUGGGUCACCCACUUAGCCAAUUCUCUUGUCCUCAGUUUCCCUCUUGUGGGGUGUGGA
This is a non-coding RNA of Myodes glareolus (Bank vole), 631 nucleotides long. NCBI's taxonomy places the organism in Eukaryota, Metazoa, Chordata, Mammalia, Rodentia, Cricetidae. The record is from RefSeq and is a predicted model, not a curated record.